RNAcentral lists this ribosomal RNA (213 nucleotides) under Bacteroides thetaiotaomicron. RNAcentral's name for it is "partial 23S ribosomal RNA". It matches the Rfam family "Bacterial large subunit ribosomal RNA", at positions 2248 to 2460 of the family's 2925-position model. Lineage: Bacteria; Pseudomonadati; Bacteroidota; Bacteroidia; Bacteroidales; Bacteroidaceae. The record is from RNAcentral.
AGGACACUGUUUGGUGGGUAGUUUGACUGGGGUGGUCGCCUCCAAAAUAGUAACGGAGGCUUCUAAAGGUGCCCUCACGACGAUUGGUAACCGUCGGCAGAGUGUAAUGGCAUAAGGGCGCUUGACUGGGAGACUUACAAGUCGAUCAGGUAGGAAACUAGAGCAUAGUGAUCCGGUGUUUCCGUAUGGAAGGGACAUCGCUCAAAGGAUAAA